Molecule: ribosomal RNA, 372 nt
Filed under: uncultured organism
Description: partial 16S ribosomal RNA
Rfam family: Bacterial small subunit ribosomal RNA
Source: RNAcentral
GUAGGUGGCAAGCGUUGUCCGGAAUUAUUGGGCGUAAAGCGCGCGCAGGUGGUUCUUUAAGUCUGAUGUGAAAGCCCCCGGGCUCAACCGGGGAGGGUCAUUGGAAACUGGGGAACUUGAGUGCAGGAGAGGAAAGUGGAAUUCCACGUGUAGCGGUGAAAUGCGUAGAUAUGUGGAGGAACACCAGUGGCGAAGGCGACUUUCUGGCCUGUAACUGACACUGAGGCGCGAAAGCGUGGGGAGCAAACAGGAUUAGAUACCCUGGUAGUCCACGCCGUAAACGAUGAGUGCUAAGUGUUGGGGGGUUUCCGCCCCUCAGUGCUGCAGCUAACGCAUUAUGCACUCCGCCUGGGGAGUACGGUCGCAAGACUG